Molecule: ribosomal RNA, 630 nt
Filed under: uncultured soil bacterium
Lineage: Bacteria
Description: bacterial SSU rRNA
Rfam family: Bacterial small subunit ribosomal RNA
Source: RNAcentral
GAAUCAACGCUGGCGGCGUGCCUAACACGUGCAAGUCGAACGCGAAAGCCCCGCAAGGGGUAAGUAGAGUGGCAAACGGGUGAGUAACACGUGGGUGACCUGCCUUCGAGUGGGGGAUAACGUCCCGAAAGGGACGCUAAUACCGCAUGACAUCCUGCUCUUGGAAGAGCGGAGAUCAAAGCCUGGGAUCGCAAGACCUGGCGCUUGAAGAGGGGCCCGCGCCUGAUUAGCUAGUUGGUGGGGUAACGGCCUACCAAGGCGACGAUCAGUAUCCGGCCUGAGAGGGCGGACGGACACACUGGGACUGAGACACGGCCCAGACUCCUACGGGAGGCAGCAGUGGGGAAUUGUUCGCAAUGGGCGCAAGCCUGACGACGCAACGCCGCGUGGAGGACGAAGAUCUUCGGGUCGUAAACUCCUGUCGAGCGGGAAGAACGCUUCCCGGGUGAAUAAUCCGGGGAAUUGACGGUACCGCUAAAGGAAGCCCCGACUAACUCCGUGCCAGCAGCCGCGGUAAUACGGGGGGGGCAAGCGUUGUUCGGAAUUACUGGGCGUAAAGGGCUCGUAGGCGGCCAACUAAGUCGGAUGUGAAAUCCCCAGGCUUAACCUGGGAACUGCAUCCGAUACUGG